RNAcentral lists this ribosomal RNA (253 nucleotides) under uncultured bacterium. RNAcentral describes it as "partial 16S ribosomal RNA". It matches the Rfam family "Bacterial small subunit ribosomal RNA", at positions 524 to 776 of the family's 1533-position model. The record is from RNAcentral.
UACAGGGGGGGCAAGCGUUGUUCGGAAUUACUGGGCGUAAAGGGUUCGUAGGUGGCCAACUAAGUCAGACGUGAAAUCCCUCAGCUUAACUGGGGAACUGCGUCUGAUACUGGAUGGCUUGAGUGCGGUAGAGGAUGGCGGAAUUCCCGGUGUAGCAGUGAAAUGCGUAGAGAUCGGGAGGAACAUCUGUGGCGAAGGCGGCCAUCUGGACCAGCACUGACACUGAGGCACGAAAGCGUGGGGAGCAAACAGG